AGAUGCGAUCAUACCAGCACUAAUGCACCGGAUCCCAUCACACUCCGCAGUUAAGCGUGCUUGGGCGAGAGUAGUACUAGAUAGUGACCUCUAGGAAAGUCCUCGUGUUGCAUCCC
Ribosomal RNA from Arabidopsis thaliana (thale cress), 116 nucleotides. The record is from Rfam. NCBI's taxonomy places the organism in Eukaryota, Viridiplantae, Streptophyta, Magnoliopsida, Brassicales, Brassicaceae.